This 67-nucleotide transfer RNA is filed under the name Muscina angustifrons. RNAcentral describes it as "tRNA-Leu". The record is from RNAcentral. Lineage: Eukaryota; Metazoa; Arthropoda; Insecta; Diptera; Muscidae.
UCUAAUGUGGCAGAUUAGUGCAAUGGAUUUAAGCUCCAAAUAUAAAGUAAUUUAACUUUUAUUAGAA